This 74-nucleotide transfer RNA is filed under the name Notacanthus chemnitzii (spiny eel). Its description in RNAcentral is "tRNA-Lys". It matches the Rfam family "tRNA". From Rfam's summary of the family: Transfer RNA (tRNA) molecules are approximately 80 nucleotides in length. Their secondary structure includes four short double-helical elements and three loops (D, anti-codon, and T loops). Lineage: Eukaryota; Metazoa; Chordata; Actinopteri; Notacanthiformes; Notacanthidae. The record is from RNAcentral.
CACUAAGAAGCUAAACAGGGAAUAGCGUUAGCCUUUUAAGCUAAAGAAUGGUGACUCCCGACCACCCAUAGUGA